GAUGAACGCUGGCGGCGUGCCUAAUACAUGCAAGUCGAGCGAACAGACGAGGAGCUUGCUCCUCUGACGUUAGCGGCGGACGGGUGAGUAACACGUGGAUAACCUACCUAUAAGACUGGGAUAACUUCGGGAAACCGGAGCUAAUACCAGAUAACAUGUUGAACCGCAUGGUUCAACAGUGAAAGACGGUCUUGCUGUCACUUAUAGAUGGAUCCGCGCCGCAUUAGCUAGUUGGUAAGGUAACGGCUUACCAAGGCAACGAUGCGUAGCCGACCUGAGAGGGUGAUCGGCCACACUGGAACUGAGACACGGUCCAGACUCCUACGGGAGGCAGCAGUAGGGAAUCUUCCGCAAUGGGCGAAAGCCUGACGGAGCAACGCCGCGUGAGUGAUGAAGGUCUUCGGAUCGUAAAACUCUGUUAUUAGGGAAGAACAAAUGUGUAAGUAACUAUGCACGUCUUGACGGUACCUAAUCAGAAAGCCACGGCUAACUACGUGCCAGCCGCCGCCGUAA
This 513-nucleotide ribosomal RNA is filed under the name uncultured bacterium. Its description in RNAcentral is "partial 16S ribosomal RNA". It matches the Rfam family "Bacterial small subunit ribosomal RNA", at positions 28 to 523 of the family's 1533-position model. The record is from RNAcentral.